Gadus macrocephalus (Pacific cod) is the source of this 523-nucleotide long non-coding RNA. RefSeq lists it as uncharacterized. Lineage: Eukaryota; Metazoa; Chordata; Actinopteri; Gadiformes; Gadidae. The transcript is spliced from 5 exons. The record is from RefSeq and is a predicted model, not a curated record.
AAAUUCAAAGAACGUGCCAUCUGAGGAUGGAAAUGAUGAGCAUGUGGCCGAGCCGAAGACCAAGUCAAAACGCAAGCAGGCAUCAACUGCACAAAGUGCCAGCAAAAGUAUUUUGCAGAAGUACAAAAAUGCACAAUUGGAUAUUGACAACUCUGCCAUAACUGCAACUGAGACCCCAUCUGGCUCAACUGAGACUCCUUGUGGCAAAAGAUGUGCUGAAGCAGUACGACAAAUGCAGGCAAUGGUGAAUGAAAUGAGAGGCAUCAGACAAGAGAUUCUGGGCAUAAGAGCAGAGAUGCUGGUGAGAUCGGCAGCGCCCUCAGUGGAGCAGGCACGAAGGUGUCAACCGCCUAUUGCGGCCAAUACGGCCAAACCAUCAACACCAUUGGAUGUAACCAAUGAAGAUGAAUCUGCCUCAAAUGAUUCUGUGAUCAUCUCUCAAUCUGUGAAAUCGAGAUCUUCACGGACCUCGGCACAAAAAUUUGUGAAUGACCUCAUGCACGGGAUUUACUCAACGGAAUAU